RNAcentral lists this long non-coding RNA (399 nucleotides) under Equus caballus (horse). RNAcentral's name for it is "lncRNA (ENSECAG00000053042.1)". Lineage: Eukaryota; Metazoa; Chordata; Mammalia; Perissodactyla; Equidae. The record is from RNAcentral.
AACGACACUAAUAAAUGAAAGUUCUGAGUGCGCAGGAAUGUUAAUCUAUUCUCGAACUCCCUCCGCUCAUCUCAGGCACCUGCCCCGUGCCGAUGCUUAGUGAAUGUCCGUAACCAAACUGUCGUGGAAUUUUCUUACAUGCUCCUUUCUUUUUCUUCCUUCGUUUCUUUCAUUUGAUGAAUGAAUUGUUGAUUACCUGCCGUGUCAGAUAUUGUGGCGGGCACAGGAGAUAUUCAUUUGAAUUUGGCACAGGUUCCAUCUCAAAUUCCUGUGGAGGAGGCAGAUAAAUACCACAUUUUAAGUUGGAGCCCGAAGGAGUGGUGGAAAAAUGGGUUAUGCCCUGGAAACACAAAGGCAGUUUCAAGAAAAUUCAUUGCAAUUGUGUUUGUAAUCAUGAAA